UAAGGAAUAUUGGUCAAUGGACGCAAGUCUGAACCAGCCAUGCCGCGUGCAGGAUGAAGGUUCUAUGGAUUGUAAACUGCUUUUGUACGGGAAAAAAUCCCUGGUUUCUACCGGGGUUGAUGGUACCGUAAGAAUAAGGAUCGGCUAACUCCGUGCCAGCAGCCGCGGUAAUACGGAGGAUCCAAGCGUUAUCCGGAUUCACUGGGUUUAAAGGGUGCGUAGGUGGAAUGACAAGUCAGUGGUGAAAACCUGCAGCUUAACUGUAGAACUGCCAUUGAUACUGUUAUUCUUGAGUACAUUUGAUGUGAGCGGAAUGUGUCGUGUAGCGGUGAAAUGCUUAGAUAUGACACAGAACACCAAUUGCGAAGGCAGCUCACAAAACUGUAACUGACACUGAGGCACGAAAGCGUGGGGAUCAAACAGGAUUAGAUACCCCCGUAGUCC
This 444-nucleotide ribosomal RNA is filed under the name uncultured bacterium. RNAcentral describes it as "bacterial SSU rRNA". It matches the Rfam family "Bacterial small subunit ribosomal RNA", at positions 355 to 796 of the family's 1533-position model. The record is from RNAcentral.